RNAcentral lists this ribosomal RNA (406 nucleotides) under uncultured bacterium. RNAcentral's name for it is "partial 16S ribosomal RNA". It matches the Rfam family "Bacterial small subunit ribosomal RNA", at positions 29 to 526 of the family's 1533-position model. The record is from RNAcentral.
AUUGAACGCUGGCGGCAGGCCUAACACAUGCAAGUCGAGCGAGCGGCGGACGGGUGAGUAAUGUCUGGGAAACUGCCUGCUGGAGGGGGAUAACUACUGGAAACGGUAGCUAAUACCGCAUACCAUCCGAUUUGCCCAGAUGGGAUUAGCUAGUAGGUGGGGUAACGGCUCACAUAGGCGACGAUCCCUCGCUGGACUGCGAGGAUGACAAGCCACACUGGAACUGAGACACGGCCCAGACUCCUACGGGAGGAAGCAGUGGGGAAUAUUGCACAAGGGGCGCAAGCCGGAUGAAGAAAUGCCGCGUGUGGGAAGAAGGCCUUCGGGUUGUAAAGCACUUUCAGCGGGGAGGCGUUACCCGCAGAAGAAGCACCGGCUAACUCCGUGCCAGCAGCCGCGGUAAUAC